AAAAAAAAAAAAAAAAAAAAAUACAGAAACACCUGUUAUUCUUUUAUUUUUGUGUUUGUUUUGAACAGUUUUUUAAUUUUUAUUUUUUUUUGUUUGUUUGUUUCUCGGUUUUUUGUUCGUUUGUUGGAUUUGUGCUUUCAUGGCAGGAAUCACUCACUGCAACCAAAAAAAAAAGACAAAUUUAUUUCAAAUUUUUUGGUUCUUUCUUU
RNAcentral lists this non-coding RNA (209 nucleotides) under Ctenophora environmental sample. The record is from RNAcentral. Lineage: Eukaryota; Metazoa; Ctenophora.